This 398-nucleotide ribosomal RNA is filed under the name Argonauta argo. RNAcentral describes it as "partial 16S ribosomal RNA". It matches the Rfam family "Bacterial large subunit ribosomal RNA", at positions 1848 to 2597 of the family's 2925-position model. The record is from RNAcentral. Lineage: Eukaryota; Metazoa; Mollusca; Cephalopoda; Octopoda; Argonautidae.
AAGAGUUGGGCCUGCUCGGUGAUUUAACAGCUGCGGUUAAUAUCUGUACUAAGGUAGCAUAAUAAUUUGUCUUAUAAAUUGAGACUAGAAUGAAUGGUUUGACGAAAAUUAUACUGUCUCUAUUAUAUUUUUUUGAAAUUAAUUUUUAAAGUGAAAAAGCUUAAAUUUUUUAAAGGGACGAGAAGACCCUAUUGAGCUUUUUUGGUUGGGGUGAUCAAGGAAAUAAUAACUUCCUUAAAUAAACAAUUUCUUUUAUGAUAAGUUACCAUAGGGAUAACAGCGUAAUUUCUUUUGAGAGUUCUUAUUAAAAAAGAAGAUUGCGACCUCGAUGUUGGAUUAAAAUUAACCUUAAGGUGGAGAAGCUUUAUUUGGUAAAUCUGUUCGAUUUUUAAAAUUUU